Non-coding RNA from Manis javanica (Malayan pangolin), 2919 nucleotides. Lineage: Eukaryota; Metazoa; Chordata; Mammalia; Pholidota; Manidae. The record is from RefSeq and is a predicted model, not a curated record.
AAGGUAGGUACAAGGGGAAAGCCUUGACAGGUGGGGGGAAACUGCUGAUCGCAGGGUGGUGGGAAGUCACAUCAGGAGCCGACAUACGCCGGUGACUCUGUGGGCGUCUCUCAAGGGCAUACGCCUGCAUGAGGGCUGGUGUAACUUCAGGUCCCUGCAGACCACUUGGCCAAACAGGAUGGAUGCCAAGGCAGCAGUGCCAUGGACGGAUUAGCUGAACAUUCGGCAGGUUACUUGUCUGAGAGCAACUCUGAUCCCACUGAUGGUGGUAAGUGGUAUAGUGACGACCCCCAUGUGCAGGUGUGUUACUCGGUGUCCUGCGGAAGCGGAGCCAAAGACAAGUUGUGGAGAGCAGGUAGCUUCUUUGGAAGCUGAUAUCAAGCAGCAGAAGUGGGGAAGAGAGGGGAUUAAGAAGGAUAACAACGAAAAUCCAAUAUGAAUAUGUGUUAUUGAGGGACUCCUAUCACAGAAAAGGAAUACGUGUUCUGAACAGAAUGCCCCCCAGAAGGUAACGAGGGCGACGCGUUUAGUCAGAGUCCAUCUCGCAUGGUUUGAGAGCUGCUUCGGGAGAUGCUAACUCUCAGCAUUUCUGGUGCUCUGGCCAGUGGCUCUGGGCAAGCAGUUGGUCAGCACCAUUUUAUUGCCUUUCAGCUCCAAAUUUAUUUUUCUUUGAACUGUUUUAUAGCACUAGAGCUGGAUCCUGUAAACAUGUUAAAUAGUUCUUUCUAUUACAUUUAAAAUAAUCAUGUUAUACUAGUCAAUAAUUAAUCAUGUUAUUGUAAAUAAUUCUUCAUUUUAAAUUCUCCCUGUUCAGAUUACAGUGUUUUCUGUCUCCUAACUGGACCGUCACACACAGCCUCUGACCCCUGUUACACAGCUAUUUACUCGGUGAGUACUUUUUGGCUGAAUCUCACGAUGAGGAGGGACCCAAGGCAGUUCGCCUCUGCAUAACAAGGACAGCAGGGCACUUGUACUGCUGCACAUCAGCUGUGUUAACUUCCCUGAUCUUUUAUCAUAAUGUAGUCCCAAGGGAUCUGGAUUGACCUUGACAUUCUGUGCUGGCCAGGUAGAGGCAUGAUGCUAACUGGAAUUAGAGAGCAGGAAGUGGCAAGUAUACAAAUACCUUAGUAAGAUGCAGGCAUACCAGAAAUGGAGCGAGAAAAAUCAUGACAAUUCACUAACAUUUAUGAAACAUUUAGGGGUCUGAGUCUACAGCAUGAUGGUACACCCCUCUAAGAUAAAGAAUAAACUGCUGCAGCUCACAUUUUCUGCAACUGAAAAGAGGCUGGUAGGCCUCUGGGUUUUAAGGGCACUAUUCACUGAUUACCAGAGGCUCCUGCUGUGAUUUAUGACAGCUGCCCUAAAAGUGCCCCAGUCCUCCUUCUUCCUGGCCUACUCUUGCCUUGUUCCUUUCUCUUCCAGAUUCCUGACUGCCAGCUUUGCGACUUGCCCUCAGAUCAGGCAUUGAAUGCAGUCUCUGGGUUGGAUCUUAGCUUUCCCCAGAGGACUGGCUUGGCUCUGCCUUCAAUGCCCACAGUAAAAACUGUCCACUCCAGCUCCAGCCCCAGGCCAAGGUCCUGGCAAGGCCAGCAGACCCCUGACCUGCAACCUUGUCCAUGUGGGCUGUCUGGAGCUAAGUGCAAUGAAAGAAGGAGUCAAGAACAUGUGAUGGACAGGAGAUUUGGAUAGAUAAGGCAGAAGGGGAAGCCAGAAGAGACAUUCAAGGCAUUAGAAGUGCUCAGCCUGCCAUUGCUAACUUUGGAGAUUGAGGAAGAAGACCAGGACUAGAAGGUGAUGCUAAAUCCCAAGUUUGUGCUCUCUUCCUGGCCCACAAAUUCAGGCUUGAUUUCUGUGCAUGCUCAUUAACUGCCUGCGAAAAUUUGUUCCCACCACUGCUUCUGGGACCAUGCACAAGGAGCCCAGACUCAUAGGAUUCAUUCAAGAAAUUAAGACAGCUCAACCUUAGAAAAUAUUUUUUACCAUCAAAGGUCAAUGGAAAAAAUGAUGUGAUCAGCUUAAUUGGGACCUAAAGGCAUUUGAAGAAACCGAAAAUGACUGCUGAAGAAUUCUGAAGAAAAAUGGAGUCUUCCACAGAAUUUGAAACACCAUGAAGACAAUUCUCAAGAAGACUCAGAAGAUAACCAGAGGCAUGCAUGACAUGAGUGAUUAUCUACACCUCCACAAUGUACAAAGAAUUAUUGAGACCUUGUGACUGACUGGGAAAAGGUAGAAAAGGAAAAAGAAGUAAACUGGUCUCCAGUGCCUGCAGCCGUCCUGCUGAGAGCCGACGACGCGUGUAUGAAAACCACUCCAGCAUGUCAGAGAGCCCCUCCCACGACUCCUUCUAUGAUUCCCUCGCAGACAUGCAGGAAGGAAGCAAGAACGCUGACUUCCUCCCCGAGCUAUCUGCUUUCCUCAGCCAGGAGGAGAUACACAAGCAAUACCCGCAGAGCUAUAGCCAGCUCUGAGACAGAAGACGGGGACUCGGAACAGGAGAUCUCACAGGUUCUCAACGCGGCUCCGGUAAGCCUCUGUGAAAACCCUCCGAGCACGGAGGCCUCGUCAGCAGGGCCUCAGGACUCCAGGCCAGCACCUGUCCAGCCUCCGCCAGAGAAGCCUGGGCCCACGCCUUCACCUGUUCCGAAGAAGACACCUGCCGUGUCGCCCCUGCCGGCCAGGCCCAGUUACAUCUGCAGCCUCCGAAAGGCCGGGAAGCGUGCGGCACAGCCUCCCGGCACCCCGGGACGCGCCGCCAAGUCCGGUCCCCCGGGCCAGCUGUGUGACAGGGCUGCGGACUUCACCGAGCAGCUGACGUCCAUAUUUAGAGAAGCGUCAAAGCCAAGAAACAGAAGCCCCGACGGGGAGUCCUCACCAGACAGCGGGUACCUGUGCCCGAAAACUCAGCCCACAGCCCCGCGG